UGGCAUACGGCUCAGUAACACGUAGUCAACAUGCCCAGGGGGCGAGGAUAACCUCGGGAAACUGAGGAUAAACCUCGAUAGGCCAUGAUUUCUGGAAUGAUUCUUGGCUCAAACCUAUAUGGCCCCUGGAUUGGACUGCGGCCGAUCAGGCUGUUGGUGAGGUAAUGGCCCACCAAACCUAUUACCGGUACGGGCUCUGAGAGGAGGAGCCCGGAGAUGGGCACUGAGACAGGGGCCCAGGCCCUAUGGGGCGCAGCAGGCGCGAAACCUCUGCAAUAGGCGAAAGCUUGACAGGGUUACUCUGAGUGAUUCCCGCUAAGGGGAUCUUUUGGCACCUCUAAAAAUGGUGUAGAAUAAGGGUGGGCAAGUCUGGUGUCAGCCGCCGCGGUAAUACCAGCACCCCGAGUGGUCGGGACGAUUAUUGGGCCUAAAGCAUCCGUAGCCGGUCCUACAAGUCUUCCGUUAAAUCCACCUGCCCAACAGAUGGGCUGCAGAGGAUACUACAGGGCUAGGAGGCGGGAGAGGCAAGCGGUACUCAGUGGGUAGGGGUAAAAUCCUCUGAUCCACUGAAGACCACCAGUGGCGAAGGCGGCUUGCCAGAACGCGCUCGACGGUGAGGGAUGAAAGCUGGGGGAGCAAACCGGAUUAGAUACCCGGGUAGUCCCAGCUGUAAACGAUGCAGACUCGGUGAUGGGUUGGCUUCGCGCCAACCCAGUGCCGCAGGGAAGCCGUUAAGUCUGCCGCCUGGGGAGUACGGUCGCAAGACUGAAACUUAAAGGAAUUGGCGGGGGAGCACCACAAGGGGUGAAGCCUGCGGUUCAAUUGGAUUCAACGCCGGA
Molecule: ribosomal RNA, 839 nt
Filed under: uncultured archaeon
Lineage: Archaea
Description: bacterial SSU rRNA
Rfam family: Archaeal small subunit ribosomal RNA
Source: RNAcentral